This 59-nucleotide microRNA precursor is filed under the name Callorhinchus milii (elephant shark). Its description in RNAcentral is "Cmi-Mir-122_pre stem-loop". Lineage: Eukaryota; Metazoa; Chordata; Chondrichthyes; Chimaeriformes; Callorhinchidae. The record is from RNAcentral.
UGGAGUGUGACAAUGGUGUUUGUAAUCACUGACAUCAAACGCCAUUAUCACACUAAAUA